This is a long non-coding RNA of Microcebus murinus (gray mouse lemur), 1043 nucleotides long. RefSeq lists it as uncharacterized. Lineage: Eukaryota; Metazoa; Chordata; Mammalia; Primates; Cheirogaleidae. The record is from RefSeq and is a predicted model, not a curated record.
UUUUAAUAGAACCUUAAAUACAUGCAUGUCAAAGCACAUUCAAAAGUUCUUACAAUUCUGAUGUAGCAUUUUUCUCUCCCAUCAAUCAAACACCACUUAAUUAAGGUUAACCUGUUGCUCAGUCUAUUCAAAUAAAUGACAUAUGCAUUUUUACUUACUUAGAAUUUGCCAUACUCAGGAAGAAAACUAUUUGUACGUUGGAAAUGGAAAGCAUAUUGCAGUUUGGUCUUCAUUUCCACACAAAUGGCAUGUGUAAUGUUUAGUGACAAAUUAUUUGGGAGGGGAAAUUGUAUUGUAUUGUAGCAUGCAAUUUCAUACCCAGUUUAGACUAGGGAUUUGGCUGAUGUUCUGGAAUCUCAUUGUACUUUUGCGCAAAAUAAUGAGCAUCUCCCACGAAGAACUCUGCCAGGGGUUGUGAGAAAGCUGCAGAAUCCAGUUUCCCAUUCCCUGGCCCUGCUGUCUCCAUCACAUUUGUCACUGUUUUCUAUUUUCCCUUUUCCUCCUUUGCAUUGCUACGCAAAGAGAAAAGAGGAAAUAGUGAUGUCCUCAUAGGGGUUCAAAAAAAAGUGACACGGCCUUUAGUGAAAGCUUAACCACUGGAGAAUAAUUGAGAAUUACGAUUUGCUUGUGAUGUCAGAAUCAGCACUGGUUUUUGGGUUAGUGAAAACAUUCCGUCUGCCUACAGGAAGCACCAGAGAAUGUGCAGAUUCUUCAUAAGGAUGAUCCAGAAAUGGCUUGGAGUUUUAGAUGUCGUGUUGUCAUCUUGUGCGGCACCUUGACUGGGACAUCGCCUUUUGAGCCGGCGUACAGGAACCCACUCACAACCUUGUCCUGUGGAAACAUAAGCAUAUCCCCGACCCCAGUGAAGAACUUCUCCCUCAACCCAUCCUCCAGUAGGAGUGGCAGCAAACACGGGCUCACAGGCCUUUUGCAAAGGAGGGGAAGAGGCGCAAUGACGCUCUGCUGCCGAGGCAUGCAGGUCCUGCCAAGAAUUUAAAACUUAAGGGUACAGAGGGCACGGAGUAAAUGCUGGUGAGGAGAUU